Molecule: ribosomal RNA, 1021 nt
Filed under: Lulworthia sp. NIOCC 9V
Lineage: Eukaryota; Fungi; Ascomycota; Sordariomycetes; Lulworthiales; Lulworthiaceae
Description: SSU rRNA
Rfam family: Eukaryotic small subunit ribosomal RNA
Source: RNAcentral
UUAUACAGCGAAACUGCGAAUGGCUCAUUAAAUCAGUUAUCGUUUAUUUGAUAGUGCCCAUCUACAUGGAUAACCGUGGUAAUUCUAGAGCUAAUACAUGCGUAAAAGCGCGACUUCGGGAGCGCUGUAUUUAUUAGAUUAAAGACCAAUGCCCUCCGGGGCUCACUGGUGAUUCAUGAUAACUCCUCUGAUCGCACGGCCUUGCGCCGGCGACGGCUCAUUCAAAUUUCUGCCCUAUCAACUUUCGACUUUAGUGUAGUGGACUAAAGUGGUUGCAACGGGUAACGGAGGGUUAGGGCUCGACCCCGGAGAAGGAGCCUGAGAAACGGCUACUACAUCCAAGGAAGGCAGCAGGCGCGCAAAUUACCCAAUCCCGACACGGGGAGGUAGUGACAAUAAAUACUGAUACAGGGCUCUUUCGGGUCUUGUAAUCGGAAUGAGUACAAUCUAAAUCCUUUAACGAGGAGCAAUUGGAGGGCAAGUCUGGUGCCAGCAGCCGCGGUAAUUCCAGCUCCAAUAGCGUAUAUUAAAGUUGUUGUGGUUAAAAAGCUCGUAGUUGAACCUGGGCCCCGUCCCGGCCGGUCCGCCUCACCGCGUGCACUGGUUCGGGAGGGGCUUCGCACCUUGGGGGUACGCAUGCCCUUCGCUGGGCGUGCGGGGAACCAGGACUUUUACUGUGAAAAAAUUAGAGUGUUCAAAGCAGGCCUAUGCUCGAAUACAUUAGCAUGGAAUAAUAAAAUAGGACGUGCGGUUCUAUUUUGUUGGUUAUGGGACCGCCGUAAUGAUUAAUAGGGACAGUCGGGGGCGUCAGUAUUCGGUGGUCAGAGGUGAAAUUCUUGGACCCACCGAAGACUAACUACUGCGAAAGCAUUCGCCAAGGAUGUUUUCAUUAAUCAGGAACGAAAGUUAGGGGAUCGAAAACGAUCAGAUACCGUUGUAGUCUUAACCAUAAACUAUGCCGACUAGGGAUCGGGCGAUGUUGCUUACUGACUCGCUCGGCACCUUUCGAGAAAUCAAAGUC